UGUUUCGGCUAGGGGGCCAUCCCGGCUUACCAACCCGAUGCAAACUGCGAAUACCGGAGAAUGUUAUCACGGGAGACACACGGCGGGUGCUAACGUCCGUCGUGAAGAGGGAAACAACCCAGACCGCCAGCUAAGGUCCCAAAGUCAUGGUUAAGUGGGAAACGAUGUGGGAAGGCCCAGACAGCCAGGAUGUUGGCUUAGAAGCAGCCAUCAUUUAAAGAAAGCGUAAUAGCUCACUGGUCGAGUCGGCCUGCGCGGAAGAUGUAACGGGGCUAAACCAUGCACCGAAGCUGCGGCAGCGACACUCAGGUGUUGUUGGGUAGGGGAGCGUUCUGUAAGCCUGCGAAGGUGGCCUGUGAGGGUUGCUGGAGGUAUCAGAAGUGCGAAUGCUGACAUAAGUAACGAUAAAGCGGGUGAAAAGCCCGCUCGCCGGAAGACCAAGGGUUCCUGUCCAACGUUAAUCGGGGCAGGGUGAGUCGACCCCUAAGGCGAGGCCGAAAGGCGUAGUCGAUGGGAAACGGGUUAAUAUUCCCGUACUUGGUGUUACUGCGAAGGGGGGACGGAGAAGGCUAUGUUGGCCGGGCGACGGUUGUCCCGGUUUAAGCGUGUAGGCUGGUUUUCCAGGCAAAUCCGGAAAAUCAAGGCUGAGGCGUGACGACGAGGCACUACGGUGCUGAAGCAACAAAUGCCCUGCUUCCAGGAAAAGCCUCUAAGCAUCAGGUAACAUCAAAUCGUACCCCAAACCGACACAGGUGGUCAGGUAGAGAAUACCAAGGCGCUUGAGAGAACUCGGGUGAAGGAACUAGGCAAAAUGGUGCCGUAACUUCGGGAGAAGGCACGCUGACACGUAGGUGAAGUGAUUUACUCACGGAGCUGAAGUCAGUCGAAGAUACCAGCUGG
Molecule: ribosomal RNA, 900 nt
Filed under: Salmonella enterica subsp. enterica serovar Bareilly
Lineage: Bacteria; Pseudomonadati; Pseudomonadota; Gammaproteobacteria; Enterobacterales; Enterobacteriaceae
Description: partial 23S ribosomal RNA
Rfam family: Bacterial large subunit ribosomal RNA
Source: RNAcentral